CACGUAGGGGGCAAGCGUUGUCCGGAUUUAUUGGGCGUAAAGAGCUCGUAGGCGGUUCGGUAAGUCAGGUGUGAAACCUCCAGGCUCAACCUCGAGCCUGCAUUCGAUACUGGGCGGCUAGAGUCUGGUAGGGGGAUCUGGAAUUCCUGGUGUAGCGGUGAAAUGCGCAGAUAUCAGGAGGAACACCGGUGGCGAAGGCGGAUCUCUGGGCCUUACCUGACGCUGAGGCGCGAAAGCUAGGGGAGCGAACAGG
This 253-nucleotide ribosomal RNA is filed under the name uncultured bacterium. RNAcentral describes it as "partial 16S ribosomal RNA". It matches the Rfam family "Bacterial small subunit ribosomal RNA", at positions 524 to 776 of the family's 1533-position model. The record is from RNAcentral.